UACGGAGGAUGCGAGCGUUAUCCGGAUUUAUUGGGUUUAAAGGGUGCGUAGGCGGAUUUUUAAGUCAGCGGUAAAAUGUCCGGGCUCAACCCGGGCCGGCCGUUGAAACUGGGGAUCUUGAGUGGGCGAGAAGUAUGCGGAAUGCGUGGUGUAGCGGUGGAAUGCAUAGAUAUCACGCAGAACUCCGAUUGCGAAGGCAGCAUACCGGCGCCCGACUGACGCUGAGGCACGAAAGCGUGGGGAUCGAACAGG
This 252-nucleotide ribosomal RNA is filed under the name uncultured bacterium. RNAcentral describes it as "partial 16S ribosomal RNA". It matches the Rfam family "Bacterial small subunit ribosomal RNA", at positions 524 to 776 of the family's 1533-position model. The record is from RNAcentral.